CCUGCCCCAGUCGUGUUGCAGGUGUGGCUGCAGUGCCACAUUUGUGUCAUUAGGUGGCAGAAAGGAAAAGGCAGUGUCUGCUAGUGCUCUGAAACCCGUGAGCACUCAGGAGUGACAGGCAACCUGACAGA
This is a non-coding RNA of Colinus virginianus (northern bobwhite), 131 nucleotides long. The record is from Rfam. NCBI's taxonomy places the organism in Eukaryota, Metazoa, Chordata, Aves, Galliformes, Odontophoridae.